CCCCUAGACGUUCUGGGCUGCACGCGCGCUACAAUAAUACGCACAGCGAGUAUCACCGAGCUCGAAAGGGCAAGGUAAACAAUAGAAAAGGUACUGUAAUGGUUAUAGAUCCUUGUAAUUAUUGAUCUUCAACGAGGAAUUCCUAGUAAGUAUGUGUCAUCAUCACGCACUGAUUACGUCCCUGCCCUUUGUACACACCGCCCGUCGCUCCUACCGACUGAGUGAGCCGAUGAAACUGCCGGAUGUGGACUAUUCAUAGUCUGCAGAAGAUAUUUGAAUCGUAGCGCUUAGAGGAAGGAGAAGUCGUAACA
RNAcentral lists this ribosomal RNA (311 nucleotides) under uncultured eukaryote. RNAcentral's name for it is "partial 18S ribosomal RNA". It matches the Rfam family "Eukaryotic small subunit ribosomal RNA", at positions 1470 to 1796 of the family's 1831-position model. The record is from RNAcentral.